GAGAAGACCCUCCGCCCGGCAGCCGCCCCGUAUGAGAAGAAGAGCGUGUGCAUUCAAACUUGUUCAUUCAUUAAUUUGAGUUGAAGGGAGGGGGACGUCCUUGGUGGAAAAGUUAAAGAAAGUGCUCUGGAUGAGAAAUUCACAGGGAGACAUAAGACAACAGCUCAGAGUGGAAGAAAUAGAUGUUCUCAGGAAGAGGCUGUAUGCUGUCCUGGUUUCGAGCAUCUGCCCUACAGUCAGAAUGCCUGCAUUUGAAAUAAGUUUCUGCCACGAACUAGCUGUAAGAC
Molecule: long non-coding RNA, 287 nt
Filed under: Homo sapiens (human)
Lineage: Eukaryota; Metazoa; Chordata; Mammalia; Primates; Hominidae
Description: HSALNT0390873
Source: RNAcentral